AAACCAAAACGCACCGUACCAUGCUCUCUGCUUCGACCUCGACAUUCUUCGCCGCUCCAAUUCUCUCCGCCACCCCUCCCCCUCCCAAAACCUCGACACGUGUACAUUUCAGGCCAAUAAGCGCCUUCGCCGCCGGUUCCACCUGCACCUCGGACGAGACAGCUACGGCGUCGUACCUCGGCCCUCAGAAGAUGACCUCGCUGUACGAGAUCCUCGGCAUCCCGGCGGUCGCCACGUGUAAGGAGAUCAAAUCGGCGUACCGGCGAUUGGCUAGGGUUUGCCACCCCGACGUGGCGGCGAUCGAGCGCAAGGACACGUCGGCUG
This 324-nucleotide long non-coding RNA is filed under the name Prunus persica (peach). RNAcentral's name for it is "long non-coding RNA (PPER_LNC007451)". Lineage: Eukaryota; Viridiplantae; Streptophyta; Magnoliopsida; Rosales; Rosaceae. The record is from RNAcentral.